UGGGGAAUAUUGGACAAUGGGCGAAAGCCUGAUCCAGCCAUGCCGCGUGUGUGAAGAAGGUCUUCGGAUUGUAAAGCACUUUAAGUUGGGAGGAAGGGCAGUUACCUAAUACGUGAUUGUUUUGACGUUACCGACAGACUAAGCACCGGCUAACUCUGUGCCAGCAGCCGCGGUAAUACAGAGGGUGCAAGCGUUAAUCGGAAUUACUGGGCGUAAAGCGCGCGUAGGUGGUUUGUUAAGUUGGAUGUGAAAUCCCCGGGCUCAACCUGGGAACUGCAUUCAAAACUGACUGACUAGAGUAUGGUAGAGGGUGGUGGAAUUUCCUGUGUAGCGGUGAAAUGCGUAGAUAUAGGAAGGAACACCAGUGGCGAAGGCGACCACCUGGACUAAUACUGACACUGAGGUGCGAAAGCGUGGGGAGCAAACA
This 427-nucleotide ribosomal RNA is filed under the name uncultured bacterium. RNAcentral describes it as "partial 16S ribosomal RNA". It matches the Rfam family "Bacterial small subunit ribosomal RNA", at positions 355 to 774 of the family's 1533-position model. The record is from RNAcentral.